Molecule: long non-coding RNA, 584 nt
Filed under: Homo sapiens (human)
Lineage: Eukaryota; Metazoa; Chordata; Mammalia; Primates; Hominidae
Description: HSALNT0361087
Source: RNAcentral
CCGCCCCGCGCCGCCCGGUCCCCAGCGAAGCCCGGGCCAGCCCCAGCGCCCAGCUGGAUCCCGGAAUAACCGGUGAAGACGGCUCCCCGGAAUCCCCGCCCCUAGCGGGCUCUCCCGGACCCCCGGCCCGCGCUAGUCUUUGCCAGGAUCCCGCGCAAAGGAUCAAGUCCCAGCUUCCCUUUCCCCACCGAGAGUCUCCAGCGCCAACCGCGGGCCGUCGGGCGGGUCCCUGACCCGCAGUUACUCAGCUACCUCUCUGGUGGAGGAGGUGUCAGCGACUUGAGAAUGAGUGCGCCAAAGAAGACAGAGCCACGCCUGAGCCUCCUUCAACAAAGCCUGCACUUCCUGUUCUCUUCUCAAGCGUGCUGUCAGCAGAUCUUGACUGAAACCUCUGUGCCCUACCCUGUCCUUGGCACCAGACGCAGGGGAAAGGAUCAGGCCCAGUCCCUCCUCUGACUGACAGUGCUAAACCAGCUACCUGUUCUGAGCAAGGCCCCUGAAGACUGGGAACACGAAUUUGCCCAACAGCUGCCUGGCUUAAGGGUUAGGCCGUUGAUAUAAAAAUACAUGGCUAAUGUAACCUA